Molecule: ribosomal RNA, 479 nt
Filed under: uncultured Pantoea sp.
Lineage: Bacteria; Pseudomonadati; Pseudomonadota; Gammaproteobacteria; Enterobacterales; Erwiniaceae
Description: bacterial SSU rRNA
Rfam family: Bacterial small subunit ribosomal RNA
Source: RNAcentral
AUGUUAGAGUUUGAUCAUGGCUCAGAUUGAACGCUGGCGGCAGGCCUAACACAUGCAAGUCGGACGGUAGCACAGAGGAGCUUGCUCCUCGGGUGACGAGUGGCGGACGGGUGAGUAUGUCUGGGGAUCUGCCCGAUAGAGGGGGAUAACCACUGGAAACGGUGGCUAAUACCGCAUAACGUCGCAAGACCAAAGAGGGGGACCUUCGGGCCUCUCACUAUCAGAUGAACCCAGAUGGGAUUAGCUAGUAGGCGGGGUAACGGCCCACCUAGGCGACGAUCCCUAGCUGGUCUGAGAGGAUGACCAGCCACACUGGAACUGAGACACGGUCCAGACUCCUACGGGAGGCAGCAGUGGGGAUAUUGCACAAUGGGCGCAAGCCUGAUGCAGCCAUGCCGCGUGUAUGAAGAAGGCCUUCGGGUUGUAAAGUACUUUCAGCGGGGAGGAAGGCAGUGAGGUUAAUAACCUUACUGAUUGAC